AUACGUAGGGAGCGAGCGUUGUCCGGAAUUACUGGGCGUAAAGGGCGCGUAGGCGGCGCUUCAAGUCGUCUGUCAAAUGGAAGGGCUUAACCCUUUUUCGCAGACGAAACUGGAGAGCUUGAGAAGCAGAGAGGCAAACAGAAUUCCUGGAGUAGCGGUGAAAUGCGUAGAUAUCAGGAAGAAUACCAGUGGCGAAGGCGGUUUGCUGGCUGCAUACUGACGCUGAAGCGCGAAAGCCAGGGGAGCAAACGGGAUUAGAUACCCCGGUAGUCCUGGCAGUAAACGAUGUAUGCUGGGUGUGAGACUAGCGAUAGUUUCGUGCCGAAGUUAACGCGAUAAGCAUACCGCCUGGGGAGUACGGUCGCAAGAUUGAAACUCAAAGGAAUUGACGGGG
RNAcentral lists this ribosomal RNA (394 nucleotides) under uncultured bacterium. Its description in RNAcentral is "partial 16S ribosomal RNA". It matches the Rfam family "Bacterial small subunit ribosomal RNA", at positions 523 to 918 of the family's 1533-position model. The record is from RNAcentral.